CAGUUCAACAUAUUAUUUCAUUGUAAAAUCGUGUUUAACAGAUCAUAUAUGAUUAAUGUGAAUGAAGAACACUAGGUUGAGUUGAAUUGAAUUGAAUCAUGGAUAAGAGCAUGUUAGCUGGUUUGGAAUCACUUCCAGAAGCUUAUCAGCAAAGAAUGGCGUCCAUGAUGGAACAAGUUCAAAUUCGUGACAGUUUUGGCUUGCAUGGCCUUCCUGCAGCUCGAGAGGUCCAACCAAUCAAAGGUAGUGAAAGGACCCACUAGAAGGCUUUUACCAUUUGUGGCGCAUGCAGGUUUGAAGGGAGCAUAUACAAAAGGAGCACUUUAUUAUUAUGCUGAAAGAAGAAGAAGAAGAAGAGGAAGAGUUCCACCUCCACGUCCUAGUAGUGCUGUUAAUAAUGAAAUUAAUCCAAAGUUGCAAAAACUCCUUCUUCUACUUUAUUAUGUGUGUUAUUUACUAUAGCUAGUAAUAAUAAAGAUGUAUCAUUGCUUGUUAGUUUUCACUUUAUAAUG
Arachis ipaensis is the source of this 512-nucleotide non-coding RNA. Lineage: Eukaryota; Viridiplantae; Streptophyta; Magnoliopsida; Fabales; Fabaceae. The record is from RefSeq and is a predicted model, not a curated record.